GGUGCAGUAGGUCAAUAGAUAGACCGGCCCCCUACCAGAGGCAUGUUGGUGGUUCAAAUCCAUCCUGCACCACCA
RNAcentral lists this transfer RNA (75 nucleotides) under Candidatus Falkowiibacteriota bacterium. RNAcentral's name for it is "tRNA-OTHER". It matches the Rfam family "tRNA". From Rfam's summary of the family: Transfer RNA (tRNA) molecules are approximately 80 nucleotides in length. Their secondary structure includes four short double-helical elements and three loops (D, anti-codon, and T loops). The record is from RNAcentral. Lineage: Bacteria; Candidatus Falkowiibacteriota.